UACAGAGGGGGCAAGCGUUGUUCGGAAUUACUGGGCGUAAAGGGCGCGUAGGCGGCCUGCUAAGUCGAACGUGAAAUCCCCGAGCUCAACUCGGGAACUGCGUCCGAUACUGGCAGGCUUGAAUCCGGGAGAGGGAUGCGGAAUUCCAGGUGUAGCGGUGAAAUGCGCAGAUAUCAGGAGGAACACCAAUGGCGAAGGCAGCUCGCUGGGACGUGACUGACGCUGGAGGCGCGAAAGCUAGGGGAGCAAACGGG
RNAcentral lists this ribosomal RNA (254 nucleotides) under uncultured bacterium. RNAcentral's name for it is "partial 16S ribosomal RNA". It matches the Rfam family "Bacterial small subunit ribosomal RNA", at positions 524 to 776 of the family's 1533-position model. The record is from RNAcentral.